Molecule: long non-coding RNA, 2238 nt
Organism: Zonotrichia albicollis (white-throated sparrow)
Lineage: Eukaryota; Metazoa; Chordata; Aves; Passeriformes; Passerellidae
Source: Ensembl
UUGGGGUUGGGGUUUAAGGGAAUGGUUUUUGUGGGGUUGGGAUUUAUGGCAGUGGUUUGGGUUUGGGAUGUUCUGUGUGGGGUUGGGAAUGAUCUGUGUGGAAUUGGGGUUUAUGGGAAUGCUCCAUGUGGGGUUGGGAUUUAGGGAGCUCAGCUGCCCGAGACGAGAGGCAGAGGUGGGGGCUUGAUAAAGGGAUUUGAUUGAUAAAGGAAUGGAUUUGAUUGAUAAAGGAAUGGAUGUGACUGAUAAAGGAAUGGAUGUGACUGAUAAAGGAAUGGAUUUGAUUGAUAAAGGAAUUGAUUUGAUUGAUAAAGGAAUGGAUUUGAUUGAUAAAGGAAUGGAUUUGAUUGAUAAAGGAAUGGAUUUGACUGAUNAACGUGCCGGGCACCCCCGGCCCUGCCCAGGCUGCUGGGAGAGGCAGGAAACUGCUGAGGGUCACCAAGGUGCUGGCACCUGGAAGAGAAGAAAAAAUGAUUGUGGAGCUGAACAAACCUUCUGCCAAAAGUGGCUCUGCCCCUGCUGAGAAUUCAGGGAAUUCUGGAAUUCAGGUGAAGAGCCUGGAGGAAAUCAUGUGGGAGAAACGGCAGCAGAAACAGCGGCAGGAGGAGAAGCUGCAGCAGGGAGCUGGGGCAAACCCGGCCGAAAUCCAGGAAAAAAACCAGGAUAAAAAUAAAAACCAGGAAAAACCCUCAGGAUCAGGGAGCCCCGAGGCUGCUGUGGGCUCAGCCCAGCUGGGCAGGAGGAGAGGAGGGAAAAGCGGCGAGGAUGGAGCGGGAACUGCAGAGAAGGAGCCGGGGAAAAAGGGAGCUCAGCUGCCCGAGAGGAGGGGCAGAGCCAAGCCCAGGGUGUCCCUGCAGCCUCUGGACGCCAGAGCCCCUCCCAAGCAGCCCCUGAAGAGGAAGGGCCCCGAGUGCCCCCCGACUGUGGUGGCAGUGAAGCCUCUCAGUGCCACCAGCGGGCACAGCCCGGGCUGCCCAGCCAAGGUGAGGCCCCAAAUCCCCCCAAAAAACCCUGGAAAAUUGAAAUGUUCUCCAUUUCAGCAAUGCCCUUUUCACCCCACGGCUCUCAGGGGCAGCACAUUCCUGCUUUGGAGGCAUCUCCAAAAUUCCCUGCUGGGAUUUGGGAAUAUUUUGUCCUUUCCAAGGCAGAAAUUCCUUAAAAAAAACCCAAAUUCCUCAUUUCAGGAAUGUCCUGCUUCCCUAAAAUUUGGGAUUUUUUCUCAUUUCACAAAUGCCUGAAAUUUCAUUUCAGAAACUUCAUUUCAGGAAUCCCUAAAAUUUGGAGUUUUUCCUCAUUUCAGCAAUGCCCUGCUUCAGGUGAAGCACAAAAGGAAGAAUCUCCUAAAAUUUGGGAUUUUUUUAGAUCCUAAAACUUGUCCUGCUCCUCAUUGCCAGGUUCUUCAGAAUUCCCUGGUGGGAUUUGGGAAGGAUUUUUUCCCUUUCCAAGGCAAAAAUUCCUUUUAUAAAACCCCAAAUUCCUCAUUUUAGGAAUGUCCUGCUUCAGGUGAAGAAUCUCCUAAAAUUUGGGAAUUUUUUUAGAUCCUAAAAAUUCUCAGGUUCUCCAAAAUUCCCUGCUGGGAUUUGGGAAUAUUUUAUCCUUUCCAAGGCAGAAAUUCCUUAAAAAAAACCAAAUUCCUCAUUUCAGCGAUGCCCUGCUUCAGGUGAAGUAGAAAAAGAAAAAUCUCCUAAAAUUUGGGAUUUUUUCUCAUUUCACAAAUGCCUGAAAUUUCAUUUCAGGAAUCAUUUCAUUUUAGGAAUCUCUAAAAUUUUGGAUUUUUCCUCAUUUCAGCAAUGCCCUGCUUCUGGUGAAGAAUCCCCUAAAAUUUGGGAUUUUUUUAGAUCCUAAAAAUUCUCAGGUUCUCCAGAAUUCCCUGCUGGGAUUUGGGAAUAUUUUCUCCUUUCCAAGGCAGAAAUUCCUUAAAAAACNUGGCCGACAGGCUGGGCAGGAGGGCGGAGCUGCAGCACGGCCACGACCGGGCCCCCAGGAGAGGAACAGGUACAGCCGGGGACUGGGGUUUUAUAUGGGAUUGUGUAUUGGGGUUUUGUAUUGGGGUUUUAUAUUGGGAUGUUAUAUUGAAGUUUUGUAUUAGGAUCUUGUAUUGGGAUUUUGUAUUGGGGUUUUGUAUUGGGAUUUUGUAUUGGGAUAUAGUAUUGCGGUUUUAUAUUGGGAUUUUGUAUUGGGGUUUUGUAUUGGAUUUUGUAUUGGGGUUUUGUAUUGGGGUUUUGUAUUGGGAUUUUA